This 253-nucleotide ribosomal RNA is filed under the name uncultured bacterium. RNAcentral describes it as "partial 16S ribosomal RNA". It matches the Rfam family "Bacterial small subunit ribosomal RNA", at positions 524 to 776 of the family's 1533-position model. RNAcentral also lists the same sequence under 1 other name. The record is from RNAcentral.
UACGGAGGGUGCAAGCGUUGUUCGGAAUUAUUGGGCGUAAAGCGCGUGUAGGCGGCUAUCUAAGUCUGGUGUGAAAGCCCGGGGCUUAACCCCGGAAGUGCACUGGAUACUGGAUAGCUAGAGGACGGGAGAGGAGAGCGGAAUUCAUGGUGUAGGGGUGAAAUCCGUAGAUAUCAUGAGGAACAUCCGUGGCGAAGGCGGCUCUCUGGCCCGUAACUGACGCUGAGACGCGAAAGCGUGGGGAGCAAACAGG